GAUGAUUCUUCUUCUCCAUCUGGUUUGACCAGUCCUGCAUGUUGUGGGAGCAUGCUUAAGGCAACAGAUAGAUACUCUGGGCCAUGACCCUGCAGUUGUGAUUGUCCCUGAAGGCAACAACAUAAUAACCACAGUAAAGGAAGAUGCACAGGAAAAAUACCUAGGCUGGUGGGGGAAAGGGUAAUUUAUUUUGGGGGUAGCCCUAGCCGUUUAGCAGUUGCCCAGUAGAGAGAAAGCACUUCAUGAAUGAACCGUGGUGGUCAUUAUUCACCUCUUGCUUCUCCUGCCUUCCCAAACUUGGCUACUAUGCUUCAGACGCUGCUACCUUCUCACUGUGGAACCUCCUCUGCAAUGAUGACCCCUUUUUCCCAAUGGUAGGAUCACACAGGACUAGCCGACCCUGUGGUGGAGUCUUACAAAUGGCCGCCUGGACAGGGAUUUGCCUUCAUAACCCCGAUUCCUUUGCUGGUCUUAGGAUGAUGAGGAGUAAUGACCCCCUCUACUAGUCCGCAGAUCGGGUAAAGACAGAGUAUGGCUCCCUCCCCUCUGAGUUUGAGAAAUUGACCAUAAAGAGAAGGACAAAGAGAGGAUGCAGGAAGCCUCGCAAGAAGACUUGACAAUGUCUCCAUAAGAUACUGACUCUUCUGCUUCUAUUCCAGAAUUUAAGUACAGCUAUUGGAAUAAAGAGAUGGUUUUUUGAGAACAA
Molecule: long non-coding RNA, 706 nt
Organism: Monodelphis domestica (gray short-tailed opossum)
Lineage: Eukaryota; Metazoa; Chordata; Mammalia; Didelphimorphia; Didelphidae
Source: RefSeq, a predicted model, not a curated record